RNAcentral lists this ribosomal RNA (422 nucleotides) under Verrucomicrobiota bacterium. Its description in RNAcentral is "Verrucomicrobia bacterium partial 16S ribosomal RNA". It matches the Rfam family "Bacterial small subunit ribosomal RNA", at positions 355 to 776 of the family's 1533-position model. Lineage: Bacteria; Pseudomonadati; Verrucomicrobiota. The record is from RNAcentral.
UGGGGAAUAUUGCACAAUGGGCGAAAGCCUGAUGCAGCGACGCCGCGUGAGGGAUGGAGGCCUUCGGGUUGUAAACCUCUUUCAGUAAGGGUGAAGGCUCUCUUUUGUGGAGGGUUGACAGUACUUGCAGAAGAAGCGCCGGCUAACUACGUGCCAGCAGCCGCGGUAAUACGUAGGGCGCGAGCGUUGUCCGGAAUUAUUGGGCGUAAAGGGCUUGUAGGUGGCGUGUCGCGUCUGCUGUGAAAUUCCAGGGCUUAACUUUGGGAUUGCAGUGGGUACGGGCAUGCUAGAGUGCAGUAGGGGAGAUUGGAAUUCCUGGUGUAGCGGUGAAAUGCGCAGAUAUCAGGAGGAACACCGGUGGCGAAGGCGGGUCUCUGGGCUGUUACUGACGCUGAGGAACGAAAGCGUGGGGAGCGAACAGG